GACGAACGCUGGCGGCGUGCUUAACACAUGCAAGUCGAACGAUGAAGCAAAGAAUUGAAGCUUCGGCAGAAAUUCAUUUCGGAUUAGUGGCAGACGGGUGAGUAACGCGUGAGCAACCUACCUCUUACAAAGGGAUAGCCUCGGGAAACCGGGAUUAAUACCAUAUAACAUUUCGACAACGCAUUUCGAUUCAAUCAAAGCUACGGCGGUAAGAGAUGGGCUCGCGUCCCAUUAACCAGAUGGUGAGGUAACGGCUCACCAUAGUAACGAUGGGUAACCGGGCUGAGAGGGUGAACGGUCACACUGGAACGGAGACACGGUCCAGACUCCUACGGGAGGCAGCAGUGGGGAAUAUUGCACAAUGGAGGGAACGCUGAUGCAGCGACGCCGCGUGAGUGAUGAAGGAAUUCGUUUCGUAAAACUCUGUUCUAUGGGAAGAAAAGGACUGUACCAUAGGAGAAAGCUCCGGCUAAAUACGUG
RNAcentral lists this ribosomal RNA (480 nucleotides) under uncultured bacterium. RNAcentral describes it as "partial 16S ribosomal RNA". It matches the Rfam family "Bacterial small subunit ribosomal RNA", at positions 28 to 507 of the family's 1533-position model. The record is from RNAcentral.